RNAcentral lists this ribosomal RNA (274 nucleotides) under uncultured bacterium. RNAcentral's name for it is "partial 16S ribosomal RNA". It matches the Rfam family "Bacterial small subunit ribosomal RNA", at positions 523 to 796 of the family's 1533-position model. The record is from RNAcentral.
ACACGGGGGGUGCGAGCGUUGUUCGGAUUCAUUGGGUUUAAAGGGUGCGUAGGCGGAAUAAUAAGUCAGGGGUGAAAGUUUGCGGCUCAACCGUAAAAUUGCCUUUGAUACUGUUAUUCUUGAGUACACGCGAGGUAUGCGGAAUGUGAUGUGUAGCGGUGAAAUGCUUAGAUAUAUCACAGAACACCGAUUGCGAAGGCAGCAUACUAGAGUGUCACUGACGCUGAUGCACGAAAGCGUGGGUAUCGAACAGGAUUAGAUACCCUAGUAGUCC